AUUGAACGCUGGCGGCAGGCUUAACACAUGCAAGUCGAGCGGGGGAAGGUAGCUUGCUACCGGACCUAGCGGCGGACGGGUGAGUAAUGCUUAGGAAUCUGCCUAUUAGUGGGGGACAACAUCUCGAAAGGGAUGCUAAUACCGCAUACGUCCUACGGGAGAAAGCAGGGGAUCUUCGGACCUUGCGCUAAUAGAUGAGCCUAAGUCGGAUUAGCUAGUUGGUGGGGUAAAGGCCUACCAAGGCGACGAUCUGUAGCUGGUCUGAGAGGAUGAUCCGCCACACUGGGACUGAGACACGGCCCAGACUCCUACGGGAGGCAGCAGUGGGGAAUAUUUGACAAUGGGGGGAACCCUGAUCCAGCCAUGCCGCGUGUGUGAAGAAGGCCUUAUGGUUGUAAAGCACUUUAAGCGAGGAGGAGGCUACUCUAGUUAAUACCUAGGGAUAGUGGACGUUACUCGCAGAAUAAGCACCGGCUAACUCUGUGCCAGCCGCCGCAGUAA
RNAcentral lists this ribosomal RNA (501 nucleotides) under uncultured bacterium. Its description in RNAcentral is "partial 16S ribosomal RNA". It matches the Rfam family "Bacterial small subunit ribosomal RNA", at positions 30 to 523 of the family's 1533-position model. The record is from RNAcentral.